This is a non-coding RNA of Colwellia sp. 39_35_sub15_T18, 83 nucleotides long. The record is from Rfam. NCBI's taxonomy places the organism in Bacteria, Pseudomonadati, Pseudomonadota, Gammaproteobacteria, Alteromonadales, Colwelliaceae.
CACUAUGUAAAGCAAACUAUAUGAAAAUAUGGGACGCAAAGCCACCGGUCUAAGGAUUUUUCUAUGACAGCGGGGUUGCCAAU